RNAcentral lists this ribosomal RNA (483 nucleotides) under uncultured bacterium. RNAcentral describes it as "bacterial SSU rRNA". It matches the Rfam family "Bacterial small subunit ribosomal RNA", at positions 1 to 531 of the family's 1533-position model. The record is from RNAcentral.
GCCCUUAGAGUUUGAUCCUGGCUCAGAACGAACGCUGGCGGCAGGCCUAACACAUGCAAGUCGAGCGCUACCUUCGGGUGGAGCGGCGGACGGGUUAGUAACGCGUGGGAAUAUGCCCUUCUCUAAGGAAUAGCCUCGGGAAACUGAGAGUAAUACCUUAUACGCCCUUUGGGGGAAAGAUUUAUCGGAGAAGGAUUAGCCCGCGUAAGAUUAGAUAGUUGGUGGGGUAAUGGCCUACCAAGUCUACGAUCUUUAGCUGGUUUUAGAGGAUGAUCAGCAACACUGGGACUGAGACACGGCCCAGACUCCUACGGGAGGCAGCAGUGGGGAAUCUUAGACAAUGGGCGCAAGCCUGAUCUAGCCAUGCCGCGUGAGUGAUGAAAGCCCUAGGGUCGUAAAGCUCUUUCGCCAGGGAUGAUAAUGACAGUACCUGGUAAAGAAGCCCCGGCUAACUCCGUGCCAGCAGCCGCGGUAAUAAGGGCG